AACGAACGCUGGCGGCAGGCCUAACACAUGCAAGUCGAGCGCUCUCUUCGGAGGGAGCGGCGGACGGGUUAGUAACGCGUGGGAAUGUGCCUCUGGGUGCGGAACAACCGUUGGAAACGACGGCUAAUACCGCAUGACGUCUACGGACCAAAGAUUUAUCGCCCAGAGAUCAGCCCGCGUCUGAUUAGCUAGUUGGGGGGUAACGCCCACCAAGGCGACGAUCAGUAGCUGGUUUGAGAGGAUGAUCAGCAACACUGGGACUGAGACACGGCCCAGACUCCUACGGGAGGCAGCAGUGGGGAAUCUUGGACAAUGGGCGCAAGCCUGAUCCAGCCAUGCCGCGUGAGCGAUGAAGGCCUUAGGGUUGUAAAGCUCUUUCACCGGUGAAGAUAAUGACGGUAGCCGGAGAAGAAGCCCCGGCUAACUCCGUGCCAGCCGCCGCGGUAAU
RNAcentral lists this ribosomal RNA (448 nucleotides) under uncultured bacterium. RNAcentral describes it as "bacterial SSU rRNA". It matches the Rfam family "Bacterial small subunit ribosomal RNA", at positions 29 to 524 of the family's 1533-position model. The record is from RNAcentral.